Molecule: ribosomal RNA, 121 nt
Filed under: Chinchilla lanigera (long-tailed chinchilla)
Lineage: Eukaryota; Metazoa; Chordata; Mammalia; Rodentia; Chinchillidae
Source: RNAcentral
GUCUACAGCCAUACCACCCUGAAAGCGCCCAGUCUCAUCUGGCCUCGGAAGCUAAGCAGGGUCAGGCCUGCUUAGUACUUGGAUGGGAGAUUGGCUGAACUUGCAAGCAAAGGUGAUGACA